GGAGGAUUAGCCUCAGCUGGGAGAGCACCUGCCUUACAAGCAGGGGGUCGGCGGUUCGAUCCCGUCAUCCUCCACCA
RNAcentral lists this transfer RNA (77 nucleotides) under Priestia megaterium NBRC 15308 = ATCC 14581. RNAcentral describes it as "Bacillus megaterium NBRC 15308 = ATCC 14581 tRNA-Val". It matches the Rfam family "tRNA". From Rfam's summary of the family: Transfer RNA (tRNA) molecules are approximately 80 nucleotides in length. Their secondary structure includes four short double-helical elements and three loops (D, anti-codon, and T loops). The record is from RNAcentral. Lineage: Bacteria; Bacillati; Bacillota; Bacilli; Caryophanales; Bacillaceae.